This 22-nucleotide unclassified non-coding RNA is filed under the name Chlamydomonas reinhardtii. RNAcentral describes it as "small RNA Cre_4051". Lineage: Eukaryota; Viridiplantae; Chlorophyta; Chlorophyceae; Chlamydomonadales; Chlamydomonadaceae. The record is from RNAcentral.
UUGUCAAUGGCCUCAUUGGUCA